GGAGCAAAAUCGAGGCACCUGCACCAUGGCCUGGACCCCUCUCCUCCUCGCAUUCCUGGCUCACUGCACAGGCUCCAUGGCCUCCUAUGUGCUGACUCAGCCCCGCUUGAUGUCGGUGAACCUGGGACAGACGGCCAGGAUCACGUGUGGGGGAGACAACAUUGGAGGUAACUAUGCUUCCUGGUACCAACAGAAGCCAGGCCAGGCCCCCGUGAUGAUUAUCUAUGAGGAUAGCAAGCGGCCCUCAGGGAUCCCUGACCGAUUCUCAGGCACCAACUCGGGGAACACGGCCACCCUGACCAUCAGCGGGGCCCGGGCCGAGGACGAGGCUGACUAUUACUGUCUGUCAUCAGCAAGCAGUGCUAAUGCUCACAGUGACACAGGCAGAUGGGGAAUGGCCCUGGGACAGACGGCUACCAUCACCUGCACUGGAGAGGACUUGGAAGAUAUUAAUGGACGCUGGUACCAGCAGAAGCCAGGCCAAGCCCCUGUAUUGGUCGUUUAUGAGGCUAGUGUUUGGUCCUCAGAGAUCCCUACACAAUUCUCUGGCUCCAAGUCAGGGAACACGGCCACCCUGACCAUCAGCGGGGCCCGGGCCGAGGACGAGGCUGACUAUUACUGUCAGUCAUCAGACAGCAGUGCUGAUGCUCACG
Molecule: non-coding RNA, 653 nt
Organism: Leptonychotes weddellii (Weddell seal)
Lineage: Eukaryota; Metazoa; Chordata; Mammalia; Carnivora; Phocidae
Source: the annotation of a RefSeq genome assembly